RNAcentral lists this ribosomal RNA (714 nucleotides) under Serratia marcescens. Its description in RNAcentral is "bacterial SSU rRNA". It matches the Rfam family "Bacterial small subunit ribosomal RNA", at positions 60 to 771 of the family's 1533-position model. Lineage: Bacteria; Pseudomonadati; Pseudomonadota; Gammaproteobacteria; Enterobacterales; Yersiniaceae. The record is from RNAcentral.
AGUCGAGCGGUAGCACAGGGGAGCUUGCUCCCCGGGUGACGAGCGGCGGACGGGUGAGUAAUGUCUGGGAAACUGCCUGAUGGAGGGGGAUAACUACUGGAAACGGUAGCUAAUACCGCAUAACGUCGCAAGACCAAAGAGGGGGACCUUCGGGCCUCUUGCCAUCAGAUGUGCCCAGAUGGGAUUAGCUAGUAGGUGGGGUAAUGGCUCACCUAGGCGACGAUCCCUAGCUGGUCUGAGAGGAUGACCAGCCACACUGGAACUGAGACACGGUCCAGACUCCUACGGGAGGCAGCAGUGGGGAAUAUUGCACAAUGGGCGCAAGCCUGAUGCAGCCAUGCCGCGUGUGUGAAGAAGGCCUUCGGGUUGUAAAGCACUUUCAGCGAGGAGGAAGGUGGUGAACUUAAUACGUUCAUCAAUUGACGUUACUCGCAGAAGAAGCACCGGCUAACUCCGUGCCAGCAGCCGCGGUAAUACGGAGGGUGCAAGCGUUAAUCGGAAUUACUGGGCGUAAAGCGCACGCAGGCGGUUUGUUAAGUCAGAUGUGAAAUCCCCGGGCUCAACCUGGAAACUGAAUUUGAAACUGGAAACCUGCAGUCUCGUAUAGGCUGCUAGAAUUCCAAGUGUAGCGCCGAUAUGUCUGGAGGAAUACCGGUGGCGAAGGCGGCCUCCUGGACGAAGACUGACGCUCAGGUGCGAAAGCGUGGGGAGCAA